UUGACCUCGAAUCAGGUAGGAAUACCCGCUGAACUUAAGCAUAUCAAUAAGCGGAGGAAAAGAAACCAACCGGGAU
This 76-nucleotide ribosomal RNA is filed under the name uncultured Erysiphaceae. Its description in RNAcentral is "partial 28S ribosomal RNA". It matches the Rfam family "Eukaryotic large subunit ribosomal RNA", at positions 1 to 75 of the family's 3401-position model. Lineage: Eukaryota; Fungi; Ascomycota; Leotiomycetes; Helotiales; Erysiphaceae. The record is from RNAcentral.